GAUGAAGAACGUAGCGAAAUGCGAUAAGUAGUGUGAAUUGCAGAAUUCAGUGAAUCAUCGAAUCUUUGAACGCACAUUGCGCCUCCUGGCAUUCCGGGAGGCAUGCCUGUUCGAGCGUCAUUAAAAUCACUCAAGCGUAGGUUUGCCUAUUGCUUGGUCUUGAAGAUGGAAGCUAAGUAAUUAGAAUCCUCUUCGAAAUCCAAUGGCGAAGACCCUUGCUCUCCCAAGUGUAGUAAUAACUUAUUCACUGAAGGAAGCGAGUAAUCUUCUACCGUAACCCCCAUAUUUUCUAUGAUUGACCUCGGAUCAGGUAGGGAUACCCGCUGAACUUAAGCAUAUCAAUAAGCGGAGGA
This 353-nucleotide unclassified non-coding RNA is filed under the name soil metagenome. RNAcentral describes it as "partial contains 5.8S ribosomal RNA, internal transcribed spacer 2, and large subunit ribosomal RNA". The stretch from base 1 to 120 matches the Rfam family "5.8S ribosomal RNA", at positions 35 to 154 of the family's 154-position model. The record is from RNAcentral.